RNAcentral lists this ribosomal RNA (468 nucleotides) under uncultured bacterium. RNAcentral describes it as "partial 16S ribosomal RNA". It matches the Rfam family "Bacterial small subunit ribosomal RNA", at positions 28 to 507 of the family's 1533-position model. The record is from RNAcentral.
GACGAACGCUGGCGGCGUGCUUAACACAUGCAAGUCGAACGGAAAGGCCCUGCUUUUGUGGGGUGCUCGAGUGGCGAACGGGUGAGUAACACGUGAGUAACCUGCCCUUGACUUUGGGAUAACUUCAGGAAACUGGGGCUAAUACCGGAUAGGAGCUUCUGCUGCAUGGUGGGGGAUGGAAAGUUUCGGCGGUUGGGGCUGGACUCGCGGGUUAUCAGCUUGUUGGUGGGGUAGUGGCUUACGAAGGCUUCGACGGGUAGCCGGCAUGAGAGCUGGGACGGCGACAUUGCUCCUGCGAGACGGACCAGAAUCCUACGGGACGCAGCAGGGGGGAAUAUUGCAGAAUAGGCGGGAGCCUGAGGCAGCAACGCCGCGUGCGGAAUGACGGCCUUCGAGGUGUAAACCGCUUUCGCCUGUGACGAAGCGUGAGUGACGGUAAUGGGUAAAGAAGCACCGGCUAACUACGUG